CAGCAGCCGCGGUAAUACGUAGGUGGCAAGCGUUGUCCGGAAUUAUUGGGCGUAAAGGGCUCGCAGGCGGUUUCUUAAGUCUGAUGUGAAAGCCCCCGGCUCAACCGGGGAGGGUCAUUGGAAACUGGGAAACUUGAGUGCAGAAGAGGAGAGUGGAAUCCCACGUGUAGCGGUGAAAUGCGUAGAGAUGUGGAGGAACACCAGUGGCGAAGGCGACUCUCUGGUCUGUAACUGACGCUGAGGAGCGAAAGCGUGGGGAGCGAACAGGAUUAGAUACCCCAGUAGUCCCUGUCUCUUAUAC
RNAcentral lists this ribosomal RNA (301 nucleotides) under uncultured bacterium. RNAcentral's name for it is "partial 16S ribosomal RNA". It matches the Rfam family "Bacterial small subunit ribosomal RNA", at positions 509 to 807 of the family's 1533-position model. The record is from RNAcentral.